GUUAGUCGGGAGCUAAGGUGAGGCCGGAAGGCGUAGCCGAUGCACAGACGGUAGAGAUUCCGUCACCACCAAAAGAGUUAAGCACAGGGACACAUAUGAAGUCUCAGAGCCGGGUGUUGGUUCCGGUAGAGAUCGAGGGAAAUUAGUACCGAAGUCUGAGAUGGAAGAUGGCGAGAAAAGCUGUGUGUAUUUCUGAGGUGCCCGUACCGCAAACCGACACAGGUAGGUAGGAAGAAGAUUCUAAGGCCAACGGGAGAAGGGUUGUUAAGGAACUCGGCAAAUUGACCCCGUAACUUCGGGAGAAGGGGUGCUCCAGAGAUGGAGCCGCAGAGAAUCGGCCCAAGCAACUGUUUACCAAAAACACAGGUUUGUGCUAAAUCGAAAGAUGACGUAUACGAGCUGACGCCUGCCCGGUGCUGGAAGGUUAAGAGGAGAUGUGCAAGCAUUGAAUCGAAGCCCCAGUGAACGGCGGCCGUAACUAUAACGGUCCUAAGGUAGCGAAAUUCCUUGUCAGGUAAGUUCUGACCCGCAUGAAAGGCGUAAUGAUUUGGGCACUGUCUCAACAGCCCGCCCGGCGAAAUUGUAGUACCGGUGAAGAUGCCGGUUACCCGCGACAAGACGGAAAGACCCCAUGGAGCUUUACUGUAGCCUAAUAUUGGGUUUCGAUGUUGCAUGCACAGGAUAGAUGGGACACUGGGAAACAAGUGCUUUGGCAUUUGUGGAGUGGCCGUUGGGAUACCAUCCUUGCGAUAUUGGAAUUCUAACCUGCGGCUCUGAAUCGAGUCGGGGGACAUUGUUAGGUGGGCAGUUUGACUGGGGCGGUCGCCUCCUAAAGAGUAACGGAGGCGUUCAAAGGUUCGCUCAGCUUGAACGGAAAUCAAGCAAAAGAGUGCAAACGCAGAAGCGAGCCUAACUGCGAGACUGACGGGUCGAGCAGUAACGAAAGUUGGAGUUAGUGAUCCGGUGGUAUGUGAGUGGAAAUGCCAUCGCUCAACGGAUAAAAGUUACCCUGGGGAUAACAGGCUGAUCUCCCCCAAGAGUCCACAUCGACGGGGAGGUUUGGCACCUCGAUGUCGGCUCAUCGCAUCCUGGGGCUGUAUUCGGUCCCAAGGGUUUGGCUGUUCGCCAAUUAAAGCGGUACGCGAGCUGGGUUCAGAACGUCGUGAGACAGUUCGGUCCCUAUCUGUCGUGGGCGCAGGAUAUUUGAUGGGAGCUGUCCCUAGUACGAGAGGACCGGGACGGACGUACCUCUGGCGCACCAGUUGUUCCGCCAGGAGCAUAGCUGGGCAACUACGUACGGAUCGGAUAAACGCUGAAAGCAUCUAAGCGUGAAGCCGACCCAAAGAUAAGAUAUCCCACUGAUUGAAUCAGGUAAGAUCCCUUGUAGACUACGAGGUUGAUAGGCACGAUGUGUAAGUGGAGCGAUCCAUUCAGCAAGUGUGUACUAAUAGAUCGAGGGCUUGACCAC
Molecule: ribosomal RNA, 1468 nt
Filed under: human gut metagenome
Description: bacterial LSU rRNA
Rfam family: Bacterial large subunit ribosomal RNA
Source: RNAcentral